This 740-nucleotide ribosomal RNA is filed under the name uncultured Staphylococcus sp. RNAcentral describes it as "bacterial SSU rRNA". It matches the Rfam family "Bacterial small subunit ribosomal RNA", at positions 41 to 763 of the family's 1533-position model. Lineage: Bacteria; Bacillati; Bacillota; Bacilli; Caryophanales; Staphylococcaceae. The record is from RNAcentral.
GGCGUGCCUAAUACAUGCAAGUCGAGCGAACGGACGAGAAGCUUGCUUCUCUGAUGUUAGCGGCGGACGGGUGAGUAACACGUGGAUAACCUACCUAUAAGACUGGGAUAACUUCGGGAAACCGGAGCUAAUACCGGAUAAUAUUUUGAACCGCAUGGUUCAAAAGUGAAAGACGGUCUUGCUGUCACUUAUAGAUGGAUCCGCGCUGCACUAGCUAGUUGGUAAGGUAACGGCUUACCAAGGCAACGAUGCAUAGCCGACCUGAGAGGGUGAUCGGCCACACUGGAACUGAGACACGGUCCAGACUCCUACGGGAGGCAGCAGUAGGGAAUCUUCCGCAAUGGGCGAAAGCCUGACGGAGCAACGCCGCGUGAGUGAUGAAGGUCUUCGGAUCGUAAAACUCUGUUAUUAGGGAAGAACAUAUGUGUAAGUAACUGUGCACAUCUCGACGGUACCUAAUCAGAAAGCCACGGCUAACUACGUGCCAGCAGCCGCGGUAAUACGUAGGUGGCAAGCGUUAUCCGGAAUUAUUGGGCGUAAAGCGCGCGUAGGCGGUUUUUUAAGUCUGAUGUGAAAGCCCACGGCUCAACCGUGGAGGGUCAUUGGAAACUGGAAAACUUGAGUGCAGAAGAGGAAAGUGGAAUUCCAUGUGUAGCGGUGGAAUGCGCAGAGAUAUGGAGGAACACCAGUGGCGAAGGCGACUUUCUGGUCUGUAACUGACGCUGAUGUGCGAAAGCGUG